Molecule: long non-coding RNA, 626 nt
Organism: Xiphophorus couchianus (Monterrey platyfish)
Lineage: Eukaryota; Metazoa; Chordata; Actinopteri; Cyprinodontiformes; Poeciliidae
Exons: 2
Source: RefSeq, a predicted model, not a curated record
CCGGCCGUCCCCUGCGGGCCGACCGGCCCCCCCUGUUCGCACCGGAGGGCCGGGACUUAGUCUGUGAUUCGAAGCCCGUCUCGUGCCCCUGGUAGGGCAGAGAGAAACAGCUCCAAGGGAGAGAGGUGGGCUGGGACUUAGGCCGUGAUCCGAAGCGCGUCCCGUGCCCCUGGUAGGGUAUAGUUCCAUCAGGGGAGGGGGGGGGUGGAGGCCCCGGAGGUCGGCCGACAAAAGGUUGGAUCGAGGGCUGACUCUCAAUGGAUCGCAGCGAGGGAGCUGCUCUGCCACGUACGAAACCCUGACCCAGAAUCAGGUCGUCUGCAAGUCAUUUAGCGCCACGUUCUCCACGAACAUGCUGUGCGCGAUCGGAGAGGGGUGACCAUCGUCCGGCCACACCCCGGCCCAGUCGCGGAAGGCUCUCCUCGCCGACCGGAGCCGGGUAUCGGAGACCGACCGAAGCGAUGCGGCGCUACGGUAUCGUUACGUCUAGGCGGGAUUCUGACUUAGAGGCGUUCAGUCAUAAUCCCACAGAUGGUAGCUUCGCCCCAUUGGCUCCUCAGCCAAGCACAUACACCAAAUGUCUGAACCUGCGGUUCCUCUCGUACUGAGCAGGAUUACUGUUGCAA